GUGUGUGGUUGUGUGUGUAUCUCUGUAGUUAAGUGUGUGUGUGUGUGUAUAUAAAUAUAUAUGUAUAUAUAUUAUAUAUAUAUAUACACACACACACACACACACACACACUUAAUUACAGAGAUACACACACAAC
RNAcentral lists this microRNA precursor (136 nucleotides) under Pelobates cultripes (western spadefoot toad). The record is from RNAcentral. Lineage: Eukaryota; Metazoa; Chordata; Amphibia; Anura; Pelobatidae.